RNAcentral lists this ribosomal RNA (544 nucleotides) under fungal sp. SNB-GTC2002. RNAcentral's name for it is "partial large subunit ribosomal RNA". Lineage: Eukaryota; Fungi. The record is from RNAcentral.
UUGUCUCUACCUGAUCCGAGGUCAACCUUUGGAAAAUUGGGGGGUUUUACGGCAAGAGUCCCUCCGGAUCCCAGUGCGAGACGUAAAGUUACUACGCAAAGGAGGCUCCGGGAGGGUCCGCCACUACCUUUGAGGGCCUACAUCAGCUGUAGGGCCCCAACACCAAGCAGAGCUUGAGGGUUGAAAUGACGCUCGAACAGGCAUGCCCGCCAGAAUGCUGGCGGGCGCAAUGUGCGUUCAAAGAUUCGAUGAUUCACUGAAUUCUGCAAUUCACAUUACUUAUCGCAUUUCGCUGCGUUCUUCAUCGAUGCCAGAACCAAGAGAUCCGUUGUUAAAAGUUUUGAUUAUUUGCUUGUACCACUCAGAAGAAACGUCGUUAAAUCAGAGUUUGGUUAUCCUCCGGCGGGCGCCGACCCGCCCGGGGGCGGGAGGCCGGGAGGGUCACGGAGACCCUACCCGCCGAAGCAACAGUUAUAGGUAUGUUCACAAAGGGUUAUAGAGCGUAAACUCAGUAAGGAUCCCUCCGCAGGUUCACCCUACGGAA